UAAGCUGCGCUCGUCUCUAGGCAGGGGAGCUCCGUGUCGCACCGGGUUCUUGGGCCGGCCGUGUCCUCCUCCCUCGGUCGCCACUGGCCCAUGAGUCCCCAUGGCGACGGCAGGGGCCAGGCCCGGGGGCGGGCAGUCCGAGUGGGGCUGCGGCGCUCCGGAGGCAUCCGCGGCGGCGUGGCGGUGUUCGCCGCCGUGGCCGCAGUGUUCACCUUCACCCUGCCCCCUUCGGUACCGGGGGGAGACUCCGGGGAACUGAUCACAGCUGCACAUGAGCUUGGAGUUGCCCAUCCUCCUGGAUAUCCUUUGUUCACGCUGGUGGCUAAACUGGCAAUUACACUGUUUCCUUUUGGUUCAAUUGCCUACCGCGUCAAUCUUCUUUGUGGCUUAUUUGGAGCAGUAGCUGCAUCAUUACUUUUUUUCACCGUUUUCAGGCUUUCUGGCUCAUCUGCUGGAGGAAUCCUUGCUGCGGGGGUGUUUUCAUUUUCUCGUCUAACAUGGCAGUGGUCCAUUGCAGCAGAGGUUUUUAGCUUAAACAAUCUCUUUGUGGGGCUGCUUAUGGCUCUUACUGUACAUUUUGAGGAAGCAGCAACUGCUAAGGAGAGAUCAAAGAUAGCUAAAAUUGGUGCUUUCUGCUGUGGCCUUAGUUUAUGUAACCAGCACACAAUAAUACUCUAUGUUUUGUGCAUAAUACCUUGGAUUCUCUUUCAACUUUUAAAAAAGAAGGAACUCUCCCUGGGCUCUUUGUUGAAGUUGAGCCUGUACUUCUCUGCUGGUUUGCUGCCCUAUGUCCACCUUCCCAUCUCAUCUUACCUUAAUCAUGCCCGGUGGACCUGGGGAGACCAGACAACACUGCAAGGAUUUUUGACACAUUUUCUCAGGGAAGAAUAUGGAACCUUCAGCCUGGCCAAAUCUGAAAUAGGAUCCAGUAUGUCUGAAAUACUGCUGUGAGUAUGAAAUAUUUGAAACUAUUUUAAAAUGAAUUCUCUAUUAGUUCCUUUAAGUGAUUUUAGGGAUUUCUGAGUUCAUCUCUUUGUAACAAAGUAUGUCUGAGAAGUAGUUGUUACCUCUACAGUUAACAGUUGUUUGUGUUUACAGUUGUCCCUCAGUAUCCAUGGGGUAUUGGUUACAGGAACUCCUAAGGAUAUAAAAAUCCAUGGGUGCUCAAGUCCUGAUAUGAAAUGGCAUAAUAUUUGUAUAUAACCUAUGUACAACUUCUUGUAUACUUUUAAUCAUCUCUAGAUAACUUAUACCUAGUAUAAUGUAAAUUCUAUGUAAAUAGUUGUUAUGCUGUAUUGUCUAGGGAAUUAUGACAAGAAAAAACAUCUGUAUAUGUUUGUACAGACAGUUUUUUCCCCAACUUUUUUUUUUUUUUGAUUUAAGGUUAAUUGAAUCCAUGGAGGCAGAACCCAUGGAUACAGAGGGCCGACUGUACUGUCAAAUAUUUUUAGCACCUCCUUCAAUAAGAUAGAGCUUAAAAUGAGCAAUAAACACAACAUGAAUAUUAGAAUACUAUAUAGAGCAUUUAUAGAACUAAAAUGUUUCAACCUUCAAUUGAACAACUAUUUUCUUGUUAUUUUGGUUUUUAGUAUUUCAGAGUUUAAUUUAUGUAAUGUCUCCUAUGACUUCUUUAGGCUAUCCUUGCCAUAAGCUCUAUCUUUGGCUUACAUAUUUUUAACAUCCAACCUUAUUAGAGCUGGCUUAAGCAAAUAUAUUUUAAUGUAUAUUAUUUAAUAGUGUUCUUUGAAAACUGGGUUAAUAUUUGCUUUAAAACCUACAGAUUAAGACAAGUGGAAAGAUAUCCAUACCAACUUGAUACAAAAUUUUGGAAGAAAAUAGGUUUCUACAACACUAAAGUGAUGUCCUAACUAAUUACUAAUUUGGAACUCUUGGGGCUGUUUGAAAAAAAACUAUGAGGAGAAUAUUUCAACUUUAUAUGUGAGGCAGUUUAUGAGUUCUCACAGUUUCGGUGUAAUUUACUUACUAGCUUGCUUUCUUCCAGCCAUCCUUCCUUGCUUUCUUUUUAAACAACUUCUUUUUUCUACUUCAAAAAAGGUACAUAAGCUUUAUAGAAAACUUAGAAAAUACAGGUAAGCAAAAAUAAGAAAAUUAAAACUACCUAUAAAUCCAACAUGCAGAGAUAACCACGUUUACUUAUCUGUUAAUGACUAUAUUUUUCUAAUAUUUUUAAGAUUUUUAUUUCUUUUUAAAAGUAGGAUCAUAGUAAACAUACUGUUUUAUUAGCCUGCUGUUUUUCACUUUACAUUAUAUCUUGGAAAUAUCUCCUUGCCAUCAGUUACUUUCACAUAACCUUUUGAUGAUUCUCACCAUUGAUUUUAAAUAUUUCUUUUUAUGUGUGAGACUUUUGUGGCUUUCUCAUUUUCGCUGGGGGAAUGUAACAAGAAGCUCAGUUUUCUUUUCAAAAAUAAAAAUGGCACUGAGUGCGGUGGCUAAUGCCUGUAAUCCCAGCAUUUUGGGAAGCCAAAGUGGGAGGAUCGCUUGAGCCCAGGAGUUUGAGACCAGCCUGGGCAACGUAGUGAGACCUUGUCUCUGAAAAAAAAAAAAAAAA
RNAcentral lists this small RNA (2569 nucleotides) under Pan troglodytes (chimpanzee). RNAcentral describes it as "retained intron". Lineage: Eukaryota; Metazoa; Chordata; Mammalia; Primates; Hominidae. The record is from RNAcentral.